AUAAAUGUGCCCAAGAGAGCUCACUGGAAACCUAAAGCUCUGUUAAACUCUUAGGAUCCCAUAGCAGUACAGAUUGUCAACACACAGUGGACUAGAGCCAUGACUCACACAACCACAAGUCAUGAAUGUGAUCCAGGCAAGCGUACUGUCUAUGAUGGCUCAGUGUUCAUGGCCGUGCUGCUCAGCAAAACGAACAACGAGGAGGGUUCGGUGGUGUCAGAGGAGGGUUCGGUGGUGUCAGAGGAGGGUUCGGUGGUGUCAGAGGAGGGUUCGGUGGUGUCAGAGGAGGGUUCGGUGGUGUCAGAGGAGGGUUCGGUGGUGUCAGUGGGGGGUUCGGUGGUGUCAGAGUUGUACCAAUGUAAUCCAUGCAAACCUGCACAAAACGCAACCCUACAAGUCUACCCCAGAUGACCAGAUGGAAUCAUCCUGCACGGAUGUGGUCAUAUCCAGAGAUGGCACCAGUGUUCGCUUCGCGGAGUAUGAACAUGUAACAUCAAAGGGCAGAGUGUUCAUUUCCUGGGGAGACACUAUCACUUUUGUUAAAUAUCAUCGUACCGACACAAUAUCAUCAUAUAGCGUAACGACCCUGGGUUUAUAAGCGUGGAUAGCGACUCUCUGCUUGAAUAUACUUUUGGGGCACAGUCGAUAGCGCGCUGGACUUCGGGCUAGAAAGUCGAGGGUUCGAGUCCCGCUCCCUGCCUGUUUCAUUACGCUAUAGUUUACUAUCGCUAUAUUUCUGUGCUACAGAAAUUAUCUGACAGUUCCAAACUCAAUCAGAAGCUUUUCUACAUUUUAUUCAAGUAGUUUAAUCCAUUUUUAUUCAAGUAGUAUAUUUGCCAUUUGCAAGUACCUAUUAAAAGUAAUAUAUUGGAAUUAUUAUUUGGAGCUCUCUCACAUAUAGUAGGUCUACAUAGUACACAGAGGUAGACAGUAUAACAGUCACACGGAACAAAUAAAACCUUUAUAAAAUCCUCUAUGACGUCGUGUUCAGCUCCAGGUUGUUUCCGCUGCACAUCGCUGUUAGACACUGCGCUUCUUGUCUGUCUAUAGGCUGUCUCGUCGUUGUUAUUGACGACACUUAUGACGUUUUUAGUCUCACAAUGGAUUCUGAGGACCCCCCCUUUUAUUAUAGUGCUGUGAUAAUACAAACAUACAGCCUCCUUAAUAUCUAAACAUAUUAUUUGAAUGACUGAAGACGGAGAGUUCUGCAUGAAAGAUAUAUUUUAUUAUUGUCAGUGACAUGGCACACAACCAUUGGUUGAUGCAAUGUAGCGUGUCAAUUGUAGUUGGCCUCGUAGGAUUUUCAAUGGGCUGUGCUGCAGAGGAGCUCAGCAUUUCUUCCGAAUCUCUCUCCCCCCUCAGCUAUGCUGGUGUGUAAAGUGGUGAAGUUCUCACGGUGGCAGUAGAGAGACGCCGAUGAAGUGUGUAUCAGUCUUGCUGGUGGCUGGCAGCGACGGCAGAGCAGAGCGUGACAUGCCAGUGUGUUUUUCCUGAUGGGAUGUGUUUUCUUGGUCUUGGAUCCACGGAGUGAUGGCAGAAUGUUCCAUUUAUUCUAUGGAUCUUUCCUUCCCGUCUUAUUUCUGCCACCAUGGCAUGAUCCAGAGCAGGGCGGUGUAACUGGGUGAUUCAACAUCACGGUUAUAGUGAUCGGAAGAGACACGGAGGAUUUUGCAACAAGUGCAAGUAGGAAAACAGUCAUUACACCUUUCCCCUUCAUAAUCAACGCAGUUCUCUCUGGCAGUGUUCAAGCCUCAGCAGCAGUCAAUCGGAGUGUUUCUGGCUGAUUUGUUCUUCUGAUGAUGAUGGUUGGCAGCUCCCUUCUGGUUUCGUUUUACAGCGUAGAGUGUCAGUGAGUAGUGCUGGUUAUAUAGUGACUUGUAUUUCCAUUCACUUACAUCCACGGUUUUAUCCAACCGAGGUCGUUUUAUCCAGCCGGCGCGUUAUAUCCGACCGAGACCGUUAUCCAAACGAGGCUUUAUAUCCAACCAGGCCGUUUUUUCCAACCGAGGUUGUUUCUCAGUUUUUAUUUUUAUUAUUAUUAUUUUUUCCGAACAUGACUAGUAUGCAGUGUGAUACAAUAUUGAAAUGUGAAAUGAAAUACAUUUUUUUAUUAUAUUCUGGUUGGUUUGUUUCCGUUUUAUUCAACAAAGCACCACCUUGUACACAUACGCAUACAUAGAUACGGCUUCGGUCUGGAAUCGAAAUGAGUCAAACGACUUCAAGCUUUGACAACUUUGAAAUAGUAGCCAGGGGAGAAGUUCACUCUGGCACUGAGUUCGUGUAGUGGAGGCUCAGGGCGGCUCUGCUUCAUGUAGAGGAAGCCCCUGGAAAUUGACUACGCAUUAAACUUUUUUUUUUUUUUACAUUAUGUUAUCAUACUGUCAUACUCUGCCUCCCUAAAUGUCUAUUACCUCAAUGAACGAGGUGAUAUAAUAUUGAAAUGUGAAAUUAAA
Oncorhynchus tshawytscha (Chinook salmon) is the source of this 2453-nucleotide long non-coding RNA. The record is from Ensembl. NCBI's taxonomy places the organism in Eukaryota, Metazoa, Chordata, Actinopteri, Salmoniformes, Salmonidae.